UACGUAGGGUGCGAGCGUUAAUCGGAAUUACUGGGCGUAAAGCGUGCGCAGGCGGUUCGUUGUGUCGGCGGUGAAAGCCCCGGGCUUAACCUGGGAAUGGCCGUUGAAACUGGCGAUCUGGAGUGUGGCAGAGGGGGGUGGAAUUCCGCGUGUAGCAGUGAAAUGCGUAGAGAUGCGGAGGAACACCGAUGGCGAAGGCAGCCCCCUGGGCUAACACUGACGCUCAGGCACGAAAGCGUGGGGAGCAAACAGG
RNAcentral lists this ribosomal RNA (253 nucleotides) under uncultured bacterium. RNAcentral's name for it is "partial 16S ribosomal RNA". It matches the Rfam family "Bacterial small subunit ribosomal RNA", at positions 524 to 776 of the family's 1533-position model. The record is from RNAcentral.